RNAcentral lists this ribosomal RNA (241 nucleotides) under uncultured bacterium. RNAcentral's name for it is "partial 16S ribosomal RNA". It matches the Rfam family "Bacterial small subunit ribosomal RNA", at positions 103 to 334 of the family's 1533-position model. The record is from RNAcentral.
CGGGUGCGUAACACGUAAAGAACCUAUCCUUAAGCGGGGGAUAGCCUCUGGAAACGGGGGGUAAUACCGCAUAGGUCAUUAGUGAGGCAUCUCAGGAAUGGCAAAGGGUUACGCAAGUAACUCACUUAAGGAGGGCUUUGCGGCCUAUCAGGUAGUUGGUGGGGUCACGGCCUACCAAGCCAAAGACGGGUAGCUGGUCUGAGAGGACGGUCAGCCUCACUGGGACUGAGAUACGGCCCAG